This 342-nucleotide ribosomal RNA is filed under the name Lacticaseibacillus casei. Its description in RNAcentral is "bacterial SSU rRNA". It matches the Rfam family "Bacterial small subunit ribosomal RNA", at positions 20 to 334 of the family's 1533-position model. The record is from RNAcentral. Lineage: Bacteria; Bacillati; Bacillota; Bacilli; Lactobacillales; Lactobacillaceae.
UGGCUCAGGACGAACGCUGGCGGCGUGCCUAAUACAUGCAAGUCGAACGAGUUCUCGUUGAUGAUCGGUGCUUGCACCGAGAUUCAACAUGGAACGAGUGGCGGACGGGUGAGUAACACGUGGGUAACCUGCCCUUAAGUGGGGGAUAACAUUUGGAAACAGAUGCUAAUACCGCAUAGAUCCAAGAACCGCAUGGUUCUUGGCUGAAAGAUGGCGUAAGCUAUCGCUUUUGGAUGGACCCGCGGCGUAUUAGCUAGUUGGUGAGGUAAUGGCUCACCAAGGCGAUGAUACGUAGCCGAACUGAGAGGUUGAUCGGCCACAUGGGACUGAGACACGGCCCAA